RNAcentral lists this unclassified non-coding RNA (216 nucleotides) under Hevea brasiliensis (rubber tree). The record is from RNAcentral. Lineage: Eukaryota; Viridiplantae; Streptophyta; Magnoliopsida; Malpighiales; Euphorbiaceae.
GGUGUCAAAAAGCAUCAUCAUAUCCCUUGCAAGUCUUAGUAGAAUAAACAGAGACAGUGAGACACAGACAAUACCACACAAAUGCAUACAAGUACACAUGAAUGGAACAAUUCCAUUUUUAUUUGGAUUUCUUUUAGCCAAAGGGGAUCAGAUAGUCGAUCACUGGCUCACCAUACUGCCUCAAAAAAUACAAUUGAGACAGGGUGUCAAUUGCUU